This 79-nucleotide non-coding RNA is filed under the name uncultured Barnesiella sp. RNAcentral describes it as "TPP riboswitch (THI element)". It matches the Rfam family "TPP riboswitch aptamer (THI element)", at positions 9 to 90 of the family's 105-position model. From Rfam's summary of the family: Vitamin B(1) in its active form thiamin pyrophosphate (TPP) is an essential coenzyme that is synthesised by coupling of pyrimidine and thiazole moieties in bacteria. The previously detected thiamin-regulatory element, thi box was extended, resulting in a new, highly conserved RNA secondary structure, the THI element, which is widely distributed in eubacteria and also occurs in some archaea. Lineage: Bacteria; Pseudomonadati; Bacteroidota; Bacteroidia; Bacteroidales; Barnesiellaceae. The record is from RNAcentral.
AAAGGGGUGCCCGAUAUAGCGGCUGAGAUUAUACCCUAUGAACCUGAUACGGGUAAUACCGGCGAAGGAAUUGUUCAUA